AUUGAACGCUGGCGGAAUGCUUUACACAUGCAAGUCGAACGGUAGAGGGGGCAACCCCUUGAGAGUGGCGAACGGGUGAGUAAUAUAUCGGAACGUGCCCAGUCGUGGGGAUAACGUAGCGAAAGUUACGCUAAUACCGCAUACGAUCUAAGGAUGAAAGCGGGGGAUCGCAAGACCUCGCGCGAUUGGAGCGGCCGAUAUCAGAUUAGGUAGUUGGUGGGGUAAAGGCUCACCAAGCCAACGAUCUGUAGCUGGUCUGAGAGGACGACCAGCCACACUGGAACUGAGACACGGUCCAGACUCCUACGGGAGGCAGCAGUGGGGAAUUUGGACAAUGGACGCAAGUCUGAUCCAGCAAUGCCGCGUGCAGGAUGAAGGCC
This 380-nucleotide ribosomal RNA is filed under the name uncultured bacterium. Its description in RNAcentral is "bacterial SSU rRNA". It matches the Rfam family "Bacterial small subunit ribosomal RNA", at positions 30 to 416 of the family's 1533-position model. The record is from RNAcentral.